ACGCUCGACACCUACGGGAGGCAGCAGUGGGGAAUAUUGGGCAAUGGGCGCAAGCCUGACCCAGCAACGCCGCGUGAGUGAUGAAGGUCUUCGGAUUGUAAAACUCUUUAAGCAGGGAAGAAGAAAGUGACGGUACCUGCAGAAUAAGCAUCGGCUAACUACGUGCCAACAGCCGCGGUAAUCUGAGCGGGCUGGCAAGGC
RNAcentral lists this ribosomal RNA (201 nucleotides) under uncultured bacterium. Its description in RNAcentral is "partial 16S ribosomal RNA". It matches the Rfam family "Bacterial small subunit ribosomal RNA", at positions 328 to 539 of the family's 1533-position model. The record is from RNAcentral.